UGCAGUCGAGUGCGCAGUUUUCUGUAGCAAUACAGAAAGCGGGCGCACGGCGCACGGGUGCGUAACACGUGGGCAAUCUGCCCUUUGAUGGGGAAUAACCCGCCGAAAGGCGGGCUAAUACCGCAUAACAUCCCAGUCGCUUCGGCGAUAGGGAUCAAAGCCCGCAAGGGCGUCAUUGGAGGGGCCCGCGGCCGAUUAGCUGGUUGGUAGGGUAACGGCCUACCAAGGCUUGGAUCGGUAGCCGGUCUGAGAGGACGAUCGGCCACACUGGAACUGAGACACGGUCCAGACUCCUACGGGAGGCAGCAGUGGGGAAUCUUGCGCAAUGGGCGAAAGCCUGACGCAGCGACGCCGCGUGGGGGAUGAAGCUUCUCGGAGUGUAAACCCCUUUCGACCCGGACGAAUCACCCGCAAGGGUAUUGACGGUACGGGGAGAAGAAGCCCCGGCUAACUACGUGCCAGCAGCCGCGGUAAGACGUAGGGGGCCAGCGUUGCUCGGAAUUACUGGGCGUAAAGGGUUCGUAGGCGGUGCGGUAAGUCGAGAGUGAAAUCUCCAGGCUCAACUUGGAGGCGCCUCCCGAAACUGCCGUGCUCGAGUGCUGGAGAGGCGAGUGGAAUUGCAGGUGUAGCGGUGAAAUGCGUAGAUAUCUGCAGGAACACCAGUGGCGAAGGCGGCUCGCUGGACAGCAACUGACGCUGAGGAACGAAAGCUAGGGGAGCAAACAGGAUUAGAUACCCUGGUAGUCCUAGCCCUAAACGAUCAGGUCUUGAGGUGAGCCCCGUUCGGGGUUUGUCUCGUAGCCUACGCGAUAAGACCUGCGCCUGGGGAGUACGGUCGCAAGACUGAAACUCAAAGGAAUUGACGGGGG
RNAcentral lists this ribosomal RNA (869 nucleotides) under uncultured Acidobacteriota bacterium. RNAcentral's name for it is "bacterial SSU rRNA". It matches the Rfam family "Bacterial small subunit ribosomal RNA", at positions 56 to 919 of the family's 1533-position model. Lineage: Bacteria; Pseudomonadati; Acidobacteriota. The record is from RNAcentral.